AAGAGCGAAAGGACGUUCUGGGAGUCCGAGUUGGCGAUCGAAAGAGCCUGGAUGGCGAGCUGCUGCUGAGUCUGCAGAGCCUUCAGGCGGGUCGAU
RNAcentral lists this small RNA (96 nucleotides) under Sinorhizobium meliloti 2011. Its description in RNAcentral is "putative ncRNA". Lineage: Bacteria; Pseudomonadati; Pseudomonadota; Alphaproteobacteria; Hyphomicrobiales; Rhizobiaceae. The record is from RNAcentral.